RNAcentral lists this long non-coding RNA (1879 nucleotides) under Salmo salar (Atlantic salmon). RNAcentral describes it as "lncRNA (ENSSSAG00000092037.1)". The record is from RNAcentral. Lineage: Eukaryota; Metazoa; Chordata; Actinopteri; Salmoniformes; Salmonidae.
CUCUCCCCCCCCUCUCUCUCUCUCUCUCUCUCUCUCUCUCAUUCUCUCUCUCUCUCUCUCUCUCUCUCUCUCUCUCUGUCUCUCCUGUAGGUUGACAGAGUCCAGCCUUGCUUCUCUCUGCUCAUUCUGCCUAUUUAGACACUGUUUUGUUCCACCACACAUCCCGUCUGUCUGUCUGUCUGAUGACUGGCAAAUGGCAUCUCUUGGGUUUGAAUGACUGAGCAACAAACCAGAAUGACAAUUUGACUGAGCAAGUAUUCCCUACCAGCAUAUAUAUUUAGUACUCUCUGAAGAGUGCUGAAUGUAAGCCUCAGCAUUGAAACCAAAUGGACAAUGCAUACUAAACUUGACCACUGACAGCAACAAAAGGCUAGAGUUCUUGUAUGCUGUCACAGUGUUGUAAUGCCUUUAUCAUCGGAGUUGCCAAAUCUCAGUCGAAUGCAUUUAUAAAGCGAAAACAUCUAUUUAAUUCCUCCAUCAGACAUUAAAAUGUGCAGAUUGUAUAUCCAAAAAAGGGAGAAAUGGAUGAAAGAUGAACAUUAUUCAUAUGCAGCAGUGCAAUUGGUAGUAGUAAAUAGUAGUAGAUUAAAUGUUUGAUGAUGUAUUAGUAGGUGAAAUAGUCGCAAAUUAUAGAACAAGAUAGAUUAAGAAGGUAAUGACAAGGUAGGUAUUUGAACACGGUCUCUUCAUGAGUUACGGUGUUGAUCCCCUCCGUUGUCCCUCCCCUGUCUGGACUUGGCACCUUAGGAAGCUGUUAUAUACAGACAUGUGCCCCUAGGGUAGCUACUGGAGGGAUUUUUUCAUUAUUAAAAUCGAAUUAAAUUCAACAGCUUGGGUAAUACAAAUUAAAGAUGGCAACUGUGGCUGAAAUGUAAUUAGUUUGAGAAAUGUGAGGUUAUUUUUGUGGAGGGGGAAAAGUUUAAAGAGUACAAUAAUUGCGAUGGAGGCGUGUGGAUGGAGACUGUUUAUAUCAAUUCCAGUAUUAUUUGCCCAUUGGGCGCGAGUUUACAGGUGCUGUCCUAUCUGAUUUGGAGGCAACACUAGUAAUUCUCACUGCACUAACUAAAAUUGAAACGACGUGCUUGAGCCAGUGAAAUGUUUUACACUGUUUUCAUUCUCGCACCAUUCUGCCAUGUUCAUACUUUGUCAUUCCAUCUCUCCAACCAUGAUGCUCAUUCAAUAUCUGAGCAUGCUCAAUAGGGGGGCUGGGGGGGUUAAAGAUUAUAAUAAUGGUACUAGCUACUCGCUUUAACAAUAUUAUUAUUUACCUAUGGUUUGAAUGCUAAGGAUAGUAGCUUAUUAUUAAUAUGAAAUCUGUAUAUUAUGGAAAAUCAGCACAGGUCCUUUCUUUGGGUGGGUGGAAUGGGUGGAAUGGGUGGAAUGGGGAGGGAGGGGAGGGAGGGGAGGGGUUUUGCUUUAUAAAGAUGUUAAACUUCUGGUUUCUCAGCACAAAGCAUACAAAAAUAUAUGACAAAAGUAUUGAAUUUGUGAUUGAAUUUUGACAUGUUAUGGGGCAAGGGAAACAUUUCAGUGCUAUUCUCUAAACCUGGACCAGAACAAUGCCGUUUACAGGUAAAAAAAAAAAAAAUUCAAGAGGAGAGCACCACCUAUCUGCUUGAUGGGCUCAGUACAGCAUGGUUAACUGAAAUUGAAAGCAGUACCUUUUUAUAAAUAAUAAAUCAAUUAAAAUAUGUGUUCUGUAAUAGCCUGAGAAACCAAACGUUUUUCCCCCUGUUGACAUUUCUUGAAUACUUGCUGCUUAGAUUAUUUCAUAUUAAUGAUUAAUGAUUUAAUGGUUUUAUAAUUAUUUAUUUGAUCAGGUAAGAAACUUGAUAUGUAAAUGUAUUUAUUCAUCUAUUUCUUUAAUUGUUUAUUUACU